RNAcentral lists this long non-coding RNA (364 nucleotides) under Trifolium pratense (red clover). RNAcentral's name for it is "long non-coding RNA (TPRA_LNC010397)". The record is from RNAcentral. Lineage: Eukaryota; Viridiplantae; Streptophyta; Magnoliopsida; Fabales; Fabaceae.
GUAAAUCAAGGAAAGACAAAAAAUACUUUCCAUAACUGCUCAAUUACACGCUAUCAUCUCUCAUAUCAUCAUUAUUCCUUUCCAAAACCUUCAACUUCCUCUGAACUCUUUGCUGCGAUCUGCAAACACAAACCAUCAUUGCAAAUCAUCAAAAACUUCAAAAACUUCAACAAUUUCCGUGUGAAAAUGUCUCAAUCCUUCGGUUCCGCUCAGAUCAAAAACAAACUUGUUGAUGCUGUGAAAACAAGAUCAAAAUCUAAGAAGGAAGGAUCAACUGUUGUGGUCAAUGCGACACCCAUAUCAAGUAUCCCUGCUACUAGUUCGAAGAAGAAGAAGUCAGCAAAAUCCACUAAGAAAGUAAGUG